This 257-nucleotide ribosomal RNA is filed under the name uncultured bacterium. RNAcentral's name for it is "partial 16S ribosomal RNA". It matches the Rfam family "Bacterial small subunit ribosomal RNA", at positions 524 to 776 of the family's 1533-position model. The record is from RNAcentral.
UACGUAGGGUGCAAGCGUUGUCCGGAAUUAUUGGGCGUAAAGAGCUCGUAGGCGGUUUGUCGCGUCUGCUGUGAAAAACCCGAGGCUCAACCUCGGGCCUGCAGUGGGUACGGGGCAGACUAGAGUGCGGUAGGGGGAGAUUGGAAUUCCUGGUGUAGCGGUGGAAUGCGCAGAUAUCAGGAGGAACACCAAUGGCGAAGGCAGAUCUCUGGGCCGUAACUGACGCUGAGGAGCGAAAGCAUGGGGGAGCGAACAGG